GGGGGGACGCAGUAGGAUAGGCGAAGCGUGCGAUUGGAUUGCACGUCUAAGCAGUAAGGCUGAGUAUUAGGCAAAUCCGGUACUCAUUAAGGCUGAGCUGUGAUGGGGAGAAGACAUUGUGUCUUCGAGUCGUUGAUUUCACACUGCCGAGAAAAGCCUCUAGAUAGAAAAUAGGUGCCCGUACCGCAAACCGACACAGGUAGUCAAGAUGAGAAUUCUAAGGUGAGCGAGCGAACUCUCGUUAAGGAACUCGGCAAAAUGACCCCGUAACUUCGGGAGAAGGGGUGCUCUUUAGGGUUAACGCCCAGAAGAGCCGCAGUGAAUAGGCCCAAGCGACUGUUUAUCAAAAACACAGGUCUCUGCUAAACCGUAAGGUGAUGUAUAGGGGCUGACGCCUGCCCGGUGCUGGAAGGUUAAGAGGAGUGGUUAGCUUCUGCGAAGCUACGAAUCGAAGCCCCAGUAAACGGCGGCCGUAACUAUAACGGUCCUAAGGUAGCGAAAUUCCUUGUCGGGUAAGUUCCGACCCGCACGAAAGGCGUAACGAUUUGGGCACUGUCUCAACGAGAGACUCGGUGAAAUCAUAGUACCUGUGAAGAUGCAGGUUACCCGCGACAGGACGGAAAGACCCCGUGGAGCUUUACUGUAGCCUGAUAUUGAAAUUCGGCACAGCUUGUACAGGAUAGGUAGGAGCCUUUGAAACGUGAGCGCUAGCUUACGUGGAGGCGCUGGUGGGAUACUACCCUAGCUGUGUUGGCUUUCUAACCCGCACCACUUAUCGUGGUGGGAGACAGUGUCAGGCGGGCAGUUUGACUGGGGCGGUCGCCUCCUAAAAGGUAACGGAGGCGCUCAAAGGUUCCCUCAGAAUGGUUGGAAAUCAUUCAUAGAGUGUAAAGGCAUAAGGGAGCUUGACUGCGAGACCUACAAGUCGAGCAGGGUCGAAAGACGGACUUAGUGAUCCGGUGGUUCCGCAUGGAAGGGCCAUCGCUCAACGGAUAAAAGCUACCCCGGGGAUAACAGGCUUAUCUCCCCCAAGAGUUCACAUCGACGGGGAGGUUUGGCACCUCGAUGUCGGCUCAUCGCAUCCUGGGGCUGUAGUCGGUCCCAAGGGUUGGGCUGUUCGCCCAUUAAAGCGGUACGCGAGCUGGGUUCAGAACGUCGUGAGACAGUUCGGUCCCUAUCCGUCGUGGGCGUAGGAAAUUUGAGAGGAGCUGUCCUUAGUACGAGAGGACCGGGAUGGACAUACCUCUGGUGUACCAGUUGUCGUGCCAACGGCAUAGCUGGGUAGCUAUGUGUGGACGGGAUAAGUGCUGAAAGCAUCUAAGCAUGAAGCCCCCCUCAAGAUGAGAUUUCCCAACUUCGGUUAUAAGAUCCCUCAAAGAUGAUGAGGUUAAUAGGUUCGAGGUGGAAGCAUGGUGACAUGUGGAGCUGACGAAUACUAAUCGAUCGAAGACUUAAUC
RNAcentral lists this ribosomal RNA (1457 nucleotides) under Staphylococcus aureus. RNAcentral describes it as "bacterial LSU rRNA". It matches the Rfam family "Bacterial large subunit ribosomal RNA", at positions 1466 to 2925 of the family's 2925-position model. The record is from RNAcentral. Lineage: Bacteria; Bacillati; Bacillota; Bacilli; Caryophanales; Staphylococcaceae.